CCCUGGUUAAGUCAGUUGGUAGAGCGCUCCACCUGUAAUGGAGAGGUCCCGGGUUCGAUACCCGGACCAGGCG
This is a non-coding RNA of Ixodes scapularis (black-legged tick), 73 nucleotides long. The record is from Rfam. Lineage: Eukaryota; Metazoa; Arthropoda; Arachnida; Ixodida; Ixodidae.